This 497-nucleotide ribosomal RNA is filed under the name uncultured bacterium. RNAcentral describes it as "partial 16S ribosomal RNA". It matches the Rfam family "Bacterial small subunit ribosomal RNA", at positions 28 to 507 of the family's 1533-position model. The record is from RNAcentral.
GAUGAACGCUGGCGGCGUGCCUAAUACAUGCCAGUCGAGCGAACGGACGAGAAGCUUGCUUUUCUGAUGUUAGCGGCGGACGGGUGAGUAACACGUGGAUAACCUACCUAUAAGACUGGGAUAACUUCGGGAAACCGGAGCUAAUACCGGAUAAUAUUUUGAACCGCAUGGUUCAAAAGUGAAAGACGGUCUUGCUGUCACUUAUAGAUGGAUCCGCGCUGCAUUAGCUAGUUGGUAAGGUAACGGCUUACCAGGGCAACGAUGCGUAGCCGACCUGAGAGGGUGAUCGGCCACACUGGAACUGAGACACGGUCCAGACUCCUACGGGAGGCAGCAGUAGGGAAUCUUCCGCAAUGGGCGAAAGCCUGACGGAGCAACGCCGCGUGAGUGAUGAAGGUCUUCGGAUCGUAAAACUCUGUUAUUAGGGAAGAACAUAUGUGUAAGUAACUGUGCACAUCUUGACGGUACCUAAUCAGAAAGCCACGGCUAACUACGUG